UCCGAAUUGGUGUAGGGGUUAACAUUGCCGCCUCUCAUGCUUAUGUAAUAAGCGUAACUUGAAACCGCGGCAGCCCGGGGUUCGAUUCCCCGAUUCGGAA
Molecule: non-coding RNA, 100 nt
Organism: Mycena galopus ATCC 62051
Lineage: Eukaryota; Fungi; Basidiomycota; Agaricomycetes; Agaricales; Mycenaceae
Source: the annotation of a GenBank genome assembly